This 140-nucleotide unclassified non-coding RNA is filed under the name uncultured Helotiales. RNAcentral describes it as "sequence contains ITS2". Lineage: Eukaryota; Fungi; Ascomycota; Leotiomycetes; Helotiales. The record is from RNAcentral.
CAACCCUCACGCCCCGCGUGGUCUUGGGCCGAGCCCCCCGGGCUGGCCUCAAAAGCAGUGGCGGUGCCUCUGGGUCCUGAGCGUAGUCACACUUCCGCUACAGGGCUCCAGCGCGCGCUGGCCGAACCUCAACUCUUUCA